This 892-nucleotide ribosomal RNA is filed under the name uncultured bacterium. RNAcentral describes it as "bacterial SSU rRNA". It matches the Rfam family "Bacterial small subunit ribosomal RNA", at positions 505 to 1397 of the family's 1533-position model. The record is from RNAcentral.
GUGCCAGCCGCCGCGGUAAUACGUAGGUGGCAAGCGUUGUCCGGAUUUAUUGGGCGUAAAGCGAGCGCAGGCGGUUUCUUAAGUCUGAUGUGAAAGCCUUCGGCUCAACCGAAGAAGUGCAUCGGAAACUGGGAAACUUGAGUGCAGAAGAGGACAGUGGAACUCCAUGUGUAGCGGUGAAAUGCGUAGAUAUAUGGAAGAACACCAGUGGCGAAGGCGGCUGUCUGGUCUGUAACUGACGCUGAGGCUCGAAAGCAUGGGUAGCAAACAGGAUUAGAUACCCUGGUAGUCCAUGCCGUAAACGAUGAGUGCUAGGUGUUGGAGGGUUUCCGCCCUUCAGUGCCGCAGCUAACGCAUUAAGCACUCCGCCUGGGGAGUACGACCGCAAGGUUGAAACUCAAAGGAAUUGACGGGGGCCCGCACAAGCGGUGGAGCAUGUGGUUUAAUUCGAAGCAACGCGAAGAACCUUACCAGGUCUUGACAUCCUUUGACCACUCUAGAGAUAGAGCUUUCCCUUCGGGGACAAAGUGACAGGUGGUGCAUGGUUGUCGUCAGCUCGUGUCGUGAGAUGUUGGGUUAAGUCCCGCAACGAGCGCAACCCUUAUUACUAGUUGCCAGCAUUUAGUUGGGCACUCUAGUGAGACUGCCGGUGACAAACCGGAGGAAGGUGGGGACGACGUCAAAUCAUCAUGCCCCUUAUGACCUGGGCUACACACGUGCUACAAUGGAUGGUACAACGAGUUGCGAGACCGCGAGGUUUAGCUAAUCUCUUAAAACCAUUCUCAGUUCGGAUUGUAGGCUGCAACUCGCCUACAUGAAGCCGGAAUCGCUAGUAAUCGCGGAGCAGCAUGCCGCGGUGAAUACGUUCCCGGGCCUUGUACACACCGCCCGU